UUUGUGGAUUCGCAAAUGCAUGGAAG
This 26-nucleotide small RNA is filed under the name Bombyx mori (domestic silkworm). RNAcentral's name for it is "ovarian small RNA-316". Lineage: Eukaryota; Metazoa; Arthropoda; Insecta; Lepidoptera; Bombycidae. The record is from RNAcentral.